This 434-nucleotide ribosomal RNA is filed under the name uncultured bacterium. Its description in RNAcentral is "bacterial SSU rRNA". It matches the Rfam family "Bacterial small subunit ribosomal RNA", at positions 25 to 507 of the family's 1533-position model. The record is from RNAcentral.
CAGAACGAACGCUGGCGGCAGGCCUAACACAUGCAAGUCGAACGCCCCGCAAGGGGAGUGGCAGACGGGUGAGUAACGCGUGGGAACCUACCUAGAGGUGCGGAAUAGCCCAGGGAAACUUGGAGUAAUACCGCAUAAGCCCGCAAGGGGAAAGAUUUAUCGCCUUUAGAUGGGCCCGCGUCUGAUUAGCUAGUUGGUGAGGUAAUGGCUCACCAAGGCGACGAUCAGUAGCUGGUUUGAGAGAAUGACCAGCCACACUGGGACUGAGACACGGCCCAGACUCCUACGGGAGGCAGCAGUGGGGAAUCUUGGACAAUGGGGGCAACCCUGAUCCAGCCAUGCCGCGUGAGUGACGAAGGCCUUAGGGUUGUAAAGCUCUUUUGGCGGGGACGAUAAUGACGGUACCCGCAGAAUAAGUCCCGGCUAACUUCGUG